This 1334-nucleotide ribosomal RNA is filed under the name uncultured bacterium. Its description in RNAcentral is "bacterial SSU rRNA". It matches the Rfam family "Bacterial small subunit ribosomal RNA", at positions 40 to 1383 of the family's 1533-position model. The record is from RNAcentral.
CGGCGUGCCUAAUACAUGCAAGUCGAGCGAGGUAUCUUCGGAUACCUAGCGGCGAACGGGUGAGUAACACGUAGGUAAUCUACCUCAUAGAUUGGGAUACCCAAUGGAAACUUUGGCUAAGACCGGAUAUGAUGUUUGGAGGCAUCUUCGAGCAUUGAAAAGGACAACUGUUCUGCUAUGAGAUGAACCUGCGGCGCAUUAGCUAGUUGGUGAGAUAACAGCCCACCAAGGCAAAGAUGCGUAGCCGACCUGAGAGGGUGAACGGCCACAUUGGGACUGAGAACGGCCCAGACUCCUACGGGAGGCAGCAGUAGGGAGUAUUCGGCAAUGAGGGGAACCUUGACCGAGCAACGCCGCGUGAACGAAGAAGGUCUUCGGAUUGUAAAGUUCUGUUAUUGGGGACGAAACUUACAUGGAGUGGAAAGCCAUGUAACUGACGGUACCCUUUGAGAAAGCCACGGCUAACUACGUGCCAGCAGCCGCGGUAAUACGUAGGUGGCAAGCGCUAUCCGGAAUUAUUGGGCGUAAAGAGUGAGUAGGCGGUAGUUUAAGUCUGGAGUCAAAAGCAGUGGCUCAACCAUUGUUCGCUUUGGAAACUGAACAACUAGAGUUCGAGAGAGGUUAGUGGAAUUCCAUGUGUAGCGGUGAAAUGCGUAGAUAUAUGGAGGAACACCAGUGGCGAAGGCGGCUAACUAGCUCGAUACUGACGCUCAGUCACGAAAGCGUGGGUAGCAAAUAGGAUUAGAUACCCUAGUAGUCCACGCCGUAAACGAUGAGUACUAACUGUCGGGGAAAUCCGGUGGUGAAGUUAACGCAUUAAGUACUCCGCCUGGGUAGUACGUUCGCAAGAAUGAAACUUAAAGGAAUUGACGGGGGCCCGCACAAGCAGUGGAGCAUGUGGUUUAAUUCGACGCUACGCGAAGAACCUUACCAGGGCUCGACAUCUGAUUAAAGGCUCUAGAGAUAGAGAGAUAGUUAUAGUCAAGACAGGUGGUGCAUGGUUGUCGUCAGCUCGUGUCGUGAGAUGUUGGGUUAAGUCCCGCAACGAGCGCAACCCUUGUCCUUAGUUACCAUCAUUAAGUUGGGGACUCUAGGGAGACCGCCGGUAUAAGCCGGAGGAAGAUGGGGAUGACGUCAAAUCAUCAUGCCCUUUAUGUCCUGGGCGACACACGUGCUACAAUGGUCGGUACAAAGAGCAGCGAGACGGUGACGUUAAGCGAAUCUCAAAAAGCCGAUCUCAGUUCGGAUUGGAGUCUGCAACUCGACUCCAUGAAGUUGGAAUUGCUAGUAAUCGCGAAUCAGACAUGUCGCGGUGAAUACGUUCCCGGGCCUUG